AUUCCGGUUCUCGUACGAUCACCGAAGUUAAACAACGUUGAGGCUUGUCAGUAUCUAGAUGGGUGACCGCUUGGGAAUGCCAAGUCUUGUAA
Molecule: non-coding RNA, 92 nt
Organism: Acanthosepion pharaonis
Lineage: Eukaryota; Metazoa; Mollusca; Cephalopoda; Sepiida; Sepiidae
Source: the annotation of a GenBank genome assembly